GGGGUGCUCGAGUGGCGAACGGGUGAGUAACACGUGAGUAACCUGCCCUUGACUUUGGGAUAACUUCAGGAAACUGGGGCUAAUACCGGAUAGGAGCUCCUGCUGCAUGGUGGGGGUUGGAAAGUUUCGGCGGUUGGGGAUGGACUCGCGGCCUAUCAGCUUGUUGGUGGGGUAGUGGCUUACCAAGGCUUUGACGGGUAGCCGGCCUGAGAGGGUGACCGGCCACAUUGGGACUGAGAUACGGCCCAG
Molecule: ribosomal RNA, 249 nt
Filed under: uncultured Actinomycetales bacterium
Lineage: Bacteria; Bacillati; Actinomycetota; Actinomycetes; Actinomycetales
Description: partial 16S ribosomal RNA
Rfam family: Bacterial small subunit ribosomal RNA
Source: RNAcentral